RNAcentral lists this ribosomal RNA (498 nucleotides) under uncultured bacterium. RNAcentral's name for it is "partial 16S ribosomal RNA". It matches the Rfam family "Bacterial small subunit ribosomal RNA", at positions 30 to 523 of the family's 1533-position model. The record is from RNAcentral.
AUUGAACGCUGGCGGCAUGCCUUACACAUGCAAGUCGAACGGUAACAGGUCUUCGGAUGCUGACGAGUGGCGAACGGGUGAGUAAUACAUCGGAACGUGCCUAGUAGUGGGGGAUAACUACUCGAAAGAGUGGCUAAUACCGCAUGAGAUCUACGGAUGAAAGCAGGGGAUCGCAAGACCUUGUGCUACUAGAGCGGCCGAUGGCAGAUUAGGUAGUUGGUGGGAUAAAAGCUUACCAAGCCGACGAUCUGUAGCUGGUCUGAGAGGACGAUCGGCCACACUGGGACUGGGACACGGCCCAGACUGCUACUGGAGGCCGAAGUGGGGAGUUUUGGACAAGGGGCGCAAGCCUGGUCGAGCAAUGCCGCGUGCAGGAUGAAGGCCUUCGGGUUGUAAACUGCUUUUGUACGGAACGAAAAGCCCUGGGUUAAUACCCUGGGGUCAUGACGGUACCGUAAGAAUAAGCACCGGCUAACUACGUGCCAGCCGCCGCAGUAA